UACAGAGGUCUCAAGCGUUGUUCGGAUUCAUUGGGCGUAAAGGGUGCGUAGGUGGUGAGGUAAGUCGGAUGUGAAAUCUCCGGGCUCAACCCGGAAAUGGCAUUGGAAACUACCUUGCUAGAGGAUUUGAGGGGGGAUUGGAAUACUUGGUGUAGCAGUGAAAUGCGUAGAUAUCAAGUGGAACACCAGUGGCGAAGGCGAAUCCCUGGAAAAUACCUGACACUGAGGCACGAAAGCUAGGGGAGCAAACAGG
RNAcentral lists this ribosomal RNA (253 nucleotides) under uncultured bacterium. RNAcentral's name for it is "partial 16S ribosomal RNA". It matches the Rfam family "Bacterial small subunit ribosomal RNA", at positions 524 to 776 of the family's 1533-position model. The record is from RNAcentral.